GGCUACUUAGUAUAAUAGUUAGUAUUUCUAACUCGUGAAUUAGAAGAUCUAGGUUUAAUUCCUAAGAUAGCCU
This is a transfer RNA of 73 nucleotides. It matches the Rfam family "tRNA". From Rfam's summary of the family: Transfer RNA (tRNA) molecules are approximately 80 nucleotides in length. Their secondary structure includes four short double-helical elements and three loops (D, anti-codon, and T loops). Further hydrogen bonds mediate the characteristic L-shaped molecular structure. tRNAs have two regions of fundamental functional importance: the anti-codon, which is responsible for specific mRNA codon recognition, and the 3' end, to which the tRNAs corresponding amino acid is attached (by aminoacyl-tRNA synthetases). tRNAs cope with the degeneracy of the genetic code in two manners: having more than one tRNA (with a specific anti-codon) for a particular amino acid; and 'wobble' base-pairing, i.e. permitting non-standard base-pairing at the 3rd anti-codon position.